Molecule: ribosomal RNA, 492 nt
Filed under: uncultured bacterium
Lineage: Bacteria
Description: partial 16S ribosomal RNA
Rfam family: Bacterial small subunit ribosomal RNA
Source: RNAcentral
AGUGAACGCUGGCGGUAGGCCUAACACAUGCAAGUCGAACGGCAGCACAGUAAGAGCUUGCUCUUACGGGUGGCGAGUGGCGGACGGGUGAGGAAUACAUCGGAAUCUACUUUUUCGUGGGGGAUAACGUAGGGAAACUUACGCUAAUACCGCAUACGACCUACGGGUGAAAGCAGGGGAUCUUCGGACCUUGCGCGAUUGAAUGAGCCGAUGUCGGAUUAGCUAGUUGGCGGGGUAAAGGCCCACCAAGGCGACGAUCCGUAGCUGGUCUGAGAGGAUGGACAGGCACAAUUGAAAUGGAGCAACGUCCAGACUUCUUAGGGGGGGAACAGGGGGGAAUAUUGGGCAAUGGGGGGAAGGCUUGAUCCAGCCAACCGGGGUGGUUGAAGAAGGCUUCCGGUUGUUAAAGCCUUUUGUUGGGAAAGAAAAGCAGCAGGUUAAUACCCCGCUGUUCUGACGGUACCCAAAGAAUAAGCACCGGCUAACUUCGUG